AUACGGAGGAUCCGAGCGUUAUCCGGAUUUACUGGGUUUAAAGGGAGCGUAGGUGGACAGUUAAGUCAGUUGUGAAAGUUUGCGGCUCAACCGUAAAAUUGCAGUUGAUACUGGCUGUCUUGAGUACAGUAGAGGUGGGCGGAAUUCGUGGUGUAGCGGUGAAAUGCUUAGAUAUCACGAAGAACUCCGAUUGCGAAGGCAGCUCACUGGACUGCAACUGACACUGAUGCUCGAAAGUGUGGGUAUCAAACAGGAUUAGAUACCCUGGUAGUCCACACAGUAAACGAUGAAUACUCGCUGUUUGCGAUAUACAGUAAGCGGCCAAGCGAAAGCAUUAAGUAUUCCACCUGGGGAGUACGCCGGCAACGGUGAAACUCAAAGGAAUUGACGGGG
Molecule: ribosomal RNA, 393 nt
Filed under: uncultured bacterium
Lineage: Bacteria
Description: partial 16S ribosomal RNA
Rfam family: Bacterial small subunit ribosomal RNA
Source: RNAcentral